Molecule: long non-coding RNA, 203 nt
Filed under: Anas platyrhynchos platyrhynchos (common mallard)
Lineage: Eukaryota; Metazoa; Chordata; Aves; Anseriformes; Anatidae
Description: lncRNA (ENSAPLG00000025472.1)
Source: RNAcentral
AUAUUUUUUUUUCAAAAAUGGUUUUUGCUAAACUUCAUCAUGACUUUGAAAAUGUGAAAACAGAUUCAUAUUUUAUAAGAGAUUUACAAAGCAAAACAGAUGUAAGAGCUGCUAUAUGUUGGCAUUGCAGCAGCAGUAAAUUGAAGGGACAACAUCAGCCUGCAGUAGAUGAACGUCCAUGUUUUGAGAUUAUGUCAUCAUGA